This 462-nucleotide small RNA is filed under the name Pongo abelii (Sumatran orangutan). RNAcentral's name for it is "processed transcript". Lineage: Eukaryota; Metazoa; Chordata; Mammalia; Primates; Hominidae. The record is from RNAcentral.
CACGAUUCCAUGCACGUGGAAAUGAUCUUGAUCUUCCUCUGCGUUCUGGUCAUUGCCCAGAUAGUGCUGGUUCAGUGGAGACAGAGGCAUGGCCGAUCCUACAAUCAAGAUGGCCCUUACCAGAUGCUAGCCAUUCAAUCUUGGACUUCUGAGCCUCCAGAACUCUGGUGACCUUGUUGCAGAUGUGGGUUGUCCCCUUAUAUUUCACGAUAAAAUUAUACUGGUGGCGGUUUCUGUCUAUGUGGGGGAUGUUCUCCGUUAUUACCAGUUACAUCCUCUUCAGAGCUACCCGAAAACCUCUCUCAGGAAAGACACCACGAUUGGUCUACAAAUGGUUUCUUUUGAUCUACAAACUCAGCUAUGCAUUUGGUGUUGUGGGUUACUUGGUGAUCAUGUUUACAAUGUGUGGAUUCAAUCUGUUUUUCAAAAUCAAAGCUAGAGAUUCCAUGGAUUUUGGCAUUG